RNAcentral lists this ribosomal RNA (1068 nucleotides) under Alicyclobacillus sp. enrichment culture clone MRT18-08. Its description in RNAcentral is "bacterial SSU rRNA". It matches the Rfam family "Bacterial small subunit ribosomal RNA", at positions 336 to 1397 of the family's 1533-position model. The record is from RNAcentral. Lineage: Bacteria; Bacillati; Bacillota; Bacilli; Caryophanales; Alicyclobacillaceae.
CUCCUACGGGAGGCAGCAGUAGGGAAUCUUCCGCAAUGGGCGCAAGCCUGACGGAGCAACGCCGCGUGAGUGAGGAAGGCCUUCGGGUUGUAAAACUCAGUCACCUGGGAAGAGAGGUAUGGGGAGUGGAAUGCCCCAUACGAGACGGUACCAGGGGAGGAAGCCCCGGCUAACUACGUGCCAGCAGCCGCGGUAAUACGUAGGGGGCAAGCGUUGUCCGGAAUCACUGGGCGUAAAGCGUGCGUAGGCGGUCUUUCAAGUCCGGGGUGAAAACUCAAGGCUCAACCUUGAGAAUGCCUUGGAAACUGGGGGACUUGAGUACUGGAGAGGCAAGGGGAAUUCCACGUGUAGCGGUGAAAUGCGUAGAGAUGUGGAGGAAUACCAGUGGCGAAGGCGCCUUGCUGGACAGUGACUGACGCUGAGGCACGAAAGCGUGGGGAGCAAACAGGAUUAGAUACCCUGGUAGUCCACGCCGUAAACGAUGAGUGCUAGGUGUUGGGGGUUCAUCCCCUCAGUGCCGAAGGAAACCCAAUAAGCACUCCGCCUGGGGAGUACGGUCGCAAGACUGAAACUCAAAGGAAUUGACGGGGGCCCGCACAAGCAGUGGAGCAUGUGGUUUAAUUCGAAGCAACGCGAAGAACCUUACCAGGGCUUGACAUCCCUCUGACCGGUUCAGAGAUGGACCUUCCCUUCGGGGCAGAGGAGACAGGUGGUGCAUGGUUGUCGUCAGCUCGUGUCGUGAGAUGUUGGGUUAAGUCCCGCAACGAGCGCAACCCUUGACCUGUGUUACCAGCACGUAAUGGUGGGGACUCACAGGUGACUGCCGGCGUAAGUCGGAGGAAGGUGGGGAUGACGUCAAAUCAUCAUGCCCUUUAUGUCCUGGGCUACACACGUGCUACAAUGGGCGGUACAACGGGAAGCGAGACCGCGAGGUGGAGCGAAACCCAAAAAGCCGUUCGUAGUUCGGAUUGCAGGCUGCAACCCGCCUGCAUGAAGCCGGAAUUGCUAAUAAUCGCGGAUCAGCAUGCCGCGGUGAAUCCGUUCCCGGGCCUUGUACACACCGCCCGU